GGAUUAGAUACCCUGGUAGUCCACGCCGUAAACGAUGUCAACUAGCCGUUGGGAGGGUAAAACCUCUUAGUGGCGCAGCUAACGCGAUAAGUUGACCGCCUGGGGAGUACGCGCGCAAGCGUAAAACUCAAAGGAAUUGACGGGGGCCCGCACAAGCGGUGGAGCAUGUGGUUUAAUUCGAUGCAACGCGAAGAACCUUACCUGGCCUUGACAUCCUCAGAACUUGUUAGAGAUAACUUGGUGCCUUCGGGAAUUGAGUGACAGGUGCUGCAUGGCUGUCGUCAGCUCGUGCCG
RNAcentral lists this ribosomal RNA (294 nucleotides) under uncultured bacterium. RNAcentral's name for it is "partial 16S ribosomal RNA". It matches the Rfam family "Bacterial small subunit ribosomal RNA", at positions 775 to 1067 of the family's 1533-position model. The record is from RNAcentral.